UACGAAGGGGGCUAGCGUUGCUCGGAAUCACUGGGCGUAAAGGGUGCGUAGGCGGGUCUUUAAGUCAGGGGUGAAAUCCUGGAGCUCAACUCCAGAACUGCCUUUGAUACUGAGGAUCUUGAGUUCGGGAGAGGUGAGUGGAACUGCGAGUGUAGAGGUGAAAUUCGUAGAUAUUCGGAAGAACACCAAUGGCGAAGGCGGCCAACUGGUCCGGUACUGACGCUGAGGUGCGAAAGCGUGGGGAGCAAACAGG
RNAcentral lists this ribosomal RNA (253 nucleotides) under uncultured bacterium. RNAcentral's name for it is "partial 16S ribosomal RNA". It matches the Rfam family "Bacterial small subunit ribosomal RNA", at positions 524 to 776 of the family's 1533-position model. The record is from RNAcentral.